AGGACGAACGCUGGCGGCGUGCUUAACACAUGCAAGUCGAGCGGUGAAGGUGGUGCUUGCACCACCGGAUCAGCGGCGAACGGGUGAGUAACACGUGAGUAACCUGCCCUUGACUCUGGGAUAACCCCGGGAAACCGGAGCUAAUACCGGAUACGACCCGCACAGGCAUCUAGGUGGGUGGAAAGAUUUAUCGGUCAAGGAUGGACUCGCGGCCUAUCAGCUUGUUGGUGAGGUAACGGCCCACCAAGGCGACGACGGGUAGCCGGCCUGAGAGGGCGACCGGCCACGACUGGGACUGAGACACGGCCCAGACUCCUACGGGAGGCAGCAGUGGGAAUAUUGCUCAAUGGGCGCAAGCCUGAAGCAGCGACGCCGCGUGAGGAUGGAAGGCCUUCGGGUUGUAAACCGUUCUUUCAGCAGGGAAGAAGACGAAAGUGACGGUACCUGCGAAGAAGAAGCACCGGCUAACUACGUACAGCAGCCGC
Molecule: ribosomal RNA, 485 nt
Filed under: uncultured soil bacterium
Lineage: Bacteria
Description: bacterial SSU rRNA
Rfam family: Bacterial small subunit ribosomal RNA
Source: RNAcentral